This 497-nucleotide ribosomal RNA is filed under the name uncultured bacterium. RNAcentral describes it as "partial 16S ribosomal RNA". It matches the Rfam family "Bacterial small subunit ribosomal RNA", at positions 28 to 507 of the family's 1533-position model. The record is from RNAcentral.
GAUGAACGCUGGCGGCGUGCCUAAUACAUGCAAGUCGAGCGAACAGAUGAGGAGCUUGCUCCUCUGACGUUAGCGGCGGACGGGUGAGUAACACGUGGAUAACCUACCUAUAAGACUGGGAUAACUUCGGGAAACCGGAGCUAAUACCGGAUAAUAUAUUGAACCGCAUGGUUCAAUAGUGAAAGACGGUUUUGCUGUCACUUAUAGAUGGAUCCGCGCCGCAUUAGCUAGUUGGUAAGGUAACGGCUUACCAAGGCAACGAUGCGUAGCCGACCUGAGAGGGUGAUCGGCCACACUGGAACUGGGACACGGUCCAGACUCCUACGGGAGGCAGCAGUAGGGAAUCUGCCGCAAUGGGCGAAAGCCUGACGGAGCAACGCCGCGUGAGUGAUGAAGGUCUUCGGAUCGUAAAACUCUGUUAUUAGGGAAGAACAAAUGUGUAAGUAACUAUGCACGUCUUGACGGUACCUAAUCAGAAAGCCACGGCUAACUACGUG